This 644-nucleotide long non-coding RNA is filed under the name Homo sapiens (human). RNAcentral describes it as "non-protein coding lnc-SNU13-1:1". The record is from RNAcentral. Lineage: Eukaryota; Metazoa; Chordata; Mammalia; Primates; Hominidae.
AGACGGGGUUUCACCGUGUUAGCCAGGAUGGUCUCGAACUCCUGACCUCAGGUGAUCACCCCCACCUCAGCUUCCCAAACUGCUAAGAUUACAGGCGUGAGCCACCGCGCCCGGCCUCUUCUGGUUUUCAACAAGACAUUAAAACAAGACAUUACAGAAGGGGAAAGGCUGAGAGUUUUGGCCAAACGGAUUCGUGUUCUCGAGCUGCUGCGGCGGCCACAAGGAACCCGGAUGCCGCUGAGCUUAGCCCGCCAGACUCUCCGGCUUAUGGCUCCCAGGCCCAGGCACCCGGCCUGCCUCGUCCGUGGCGCGCAUGCGCAGGCCCAGAUCGGCGCUCCGCGCCGGCUGUGUCGCCACCUGGCGGAUGGAAGCGCGAUGGCCGCGGUAGAAGUCAAGCGCCAGAGGGCACUCCAUGCGGAUACCCAAAUCUGAGGUUGCCCAAGUCCCUGAUGUAACAUGGCGCAGUAUUUGCAUAUGAACUACGCACGGCCUCCCGGAUACUUUAAAUUAUACUCUAGAUAAUUUACGAUACCUAAUAAAAUGUAAAUGCUAUGUCAAUAAUUGUCAUACUGUAUUAUUUAUGGAAUAAUGACAAUUUUGUUGUUGUUGAGACAGAGUCUCGCUCUGUCGCCCAGGCUGAAGUG